UAGGGAAUUUUCGUCAAUGGGCGCAAGCCUGAACGAGCGAUGCCGCGUGAGUGAAGAAGGCCUCGGUCGUAAAGCUCUGUUGCGGGGGAAAAAAGGACAGCAUCAGGAAAUGGGUGCUGACUGAUGGUGCCCCGCCAGAAAGUCACGGCUAACUACGUGCCA
RNAcentral lists this ribosomal RNA (162 nucleotides) under uncultured bacterium. RNAcentral describes it as "partial 16S ribosomal RNA". It matches the Rfam family "Bacterial small subunit ribosomal RNA", at positions 355 to 510 of the family's 1533-position model. The record is from RNAcentral.